AGGUGGUCAGGUAGAGAAUACUCAGGCGCUUGAGAGAACUCGGGUGAAGGAACUAGGCAAAAUGGUGCCGUAACUUCGGGAGAAGGCACGCUGGCGGUAGGUAAAGUCCCUCGCGGACGGCGCUGAAGCCAGUCGAAGAUACCAGCUGGCUGCAACUGUUUAUUAAAAACACAGCACUGUGCAAACACGAAAGUGGACGUAUACGGUGUGACGCCUGCCCGGU
This 223-nucleotide ribosomal RNA is filed under the name Proteus mirabilis. RNAcentral describes it as "partial 23S ribosomal RNA". It matches the Rfam family "Bacterial large subunit ribosomal RNA", at positions 1661 to 1867 of the family's 2925-position model. Lineage: Bacteria; Pseudomonadati; Pseudomonadota; Gammaproteobacteria; Enterobacterales; Morganellaceae. The record is from RNAcentral.